Molecule: non-coding RNA, 1993 nt
Organism: Salvia hispanica
Lineage: Eukaryota; Viridiplantae; Streptophyta; Magnoliopsida; Lamiales; Lamiaceae
Source: RefSeq, a predicted model, not a curated record
AUGAAGCUGUUUCAGUGGGUUGAGGCAAGGCAGGCCUGGGAUGGGCCUAAUACAUUGUCUAAUACCGAUCUAUCACCAGCAUGUAGGUGUUUGAGUGGGUUCAAACCACGAGUUGAGGUAGACUGGGAUUCGUCCGUUUUUUCUAGUGGAUGUGUUAGAAGAAAACAAUGGCAUUGCACUGACAGAGUAGGAUAUAUCAAGGUAAUCACCAGUAGAUUACCUGAAAGCCCGGAAUCUGUGGAGUUACCAGAUAAUGUAUGCGAGUUUCAAUGCUCAAAAAAUUGCCCAUGCAUACGGAAGUGUAGGUAGAUGUAUAUUACUAAAUGGAGACAUUCUGGAUUUGGAGAGCACAACAAACAAUUCUGCAGGGGUGGAUCUUUAUGUCGAAGUGAAAUCAAAAGGUGAGCUAGUAUUUGCUCUGUAUUGCAUUAAAGUAAUCACCUUCUUUAAUUGUUUCAGGGAAGAGAAAAGUUCUUGUUUUGGAGUUAGUGUUGCCCAUUACUGCUGCACUCUUAUCUUGUUUUGGUCUCUGUUAUGCACGAUCAAAGCUAACAAACCGGAGAUCCAAGGACACACAUCAAAAUCUACUACUCCUUGAUUUGGAUUCAAAUGGAGCAGAAUAUAAGAACGUCGCCCAAGUUGGUAAUACUCAUGGAGAAGAUAAAAAUGACAGAUAUGAGUUGCCAAUUUUCAGUUUUUCUAGCAUAGCUGCGUCGACUAAUAACUUUUCCGUGGAAAACAAGGUUGGAGAGGGUGGUUUUGGACCUGUUUACAAGGGAGAACUAAUGAAUGGACUGUUUGUCGCUGUGAAACGGCUCUCCAAAAGGUCUGGACAGGGACUAGAGGAGUUCAGAAAUGAGACAGAAGUGAUUGCCAAACUAUAGCACAGAAACCUUGUUAGGAUCUUAGGAUGCUGUGUUGAGAACGAUGAGAUGAUUUUAGUCUAGGAUGCUGUGUUGCCAAACUAUAGCACAGAAACCUCGACUUCUUUAUCUUUGAGCCUACAAGUGGAGUGGUGUUAGAGUGGGCCAAACGCGUUGAAAUUAUAGAGGGUAUCGCUCAAGGGCUUCUGUAUCUCCACCAUUACUCCCGGCUGAGAAUAGUUCAUAGGGAUCUGAAAGCUAGUAAUAUUCUACUAGAUGAACCCCAAAAUCUCUGAUUUUGGCAUGGCAAGAAUCUUUGGAGGAAACAGCAUGCAAGCAAAUACUGAAAGGAUUGUCGGAACAUAAGUUUAUAUGUAACCGGAAUAUGCAAUGGAAGGGCUUUUCUCAGUAAAGUCUGAUGUGUUUGCAUUCGGAGUACUGAUGCUGGAGAUUAUCAGCGGGAAGAAGAACACUGGUUUUUAUGGUUCUGAGUAUCUUAGUCUUCUUGGCUUUACGUGGAAUGCAUGGAUACAUGGACGAGCAGUGGAGGUGGUUGAUCCAUCGUUGGAAAGGCCUGCUUCAUCUUCAGCUGUAUUAAGAUACAUAAAGAUCGGUCUACUUUGCGUUCAAGAAAAUCCAGCUGAUCGACCUUUAAUGUCCGAUGUGGUUGGCAUGCUAAAUAAUGAAAACGUGGAAGUGCCAUCACCCCUGAAUCCUGCAUUCACUGCUACGAGAAGUUCAAAUAAAGUCCAAAUUUGCUCUGUGAAUGGUUUGACACUCUCUCAUGUUGAAGCACGUUGAAGUUUUCUUUCGUUGCAUUUGCAUACGAUGAUUAAUUGUAAACCACAAACUGAUAAGAGUUGAAAUUUCGUUGCAUAAUGUGGUUAAUUGUAAACCACAAACUGCUCUCAUGGUUAUGAUAAGAGUUGAAAUAUUCAACAAGGCAUGGUUAUAAUCUCUGAUACGUUUGGGAGGCACAUUUAAUUUUCGACACUAUCGAACAUUAUUGUAUUGAUUGAUCUAUGUAUGGUUAUAAUCUCUGAUACAGUUGGGAGGCCCAUCAUCGGACAUUAUUGUAUUGAUUGAUCUAUGUACUAUAUUUGAUUUUUUAAAGGAGACUAUUGUAAUAA